UUCUCAGUGCUGAAUCAGGGAGAAAAGUUGGGCAGGGUGCCUGCGGGGUUCAACUGAGAGAGAGAGAGCACGCAGAGCCUGACGUGGGACAGCGAACACCACACGAAGCAGUAAGAGCAACAGCAAAAUGAUCGUCACCUGAAGGCCUACUAGGGGUCUCCAGGGCUCCCUGUCUGCCCUCACCACGGCCCUGUGAGAUCACUGCAAAGCCACAAGCCUGAGCUAGCCUGCUGGAUGAUGAGACCCAUAUGGACCAGUCCCCAUCAUUAUCCCAGCCUCCAGCCAACCAAUCCCUUGAAGCAGAGCCACCUAGCUGACCUGCAUCUGACCAUAGAUGUGUGAUAUUCUCACUGAAACAGCUGAGACCAGAAGAACUGCCCAGCAGAACCCAGCCCAAAUUACCAACGCACUGCAUUAAAAACUAAAUGAGUGAUUGUUGUCUCGAGCUGCUAAAUUUGGGGGGAAUUUGCUACAUUGGAAAAGAUAACUGGCACGUACCCUCUCAAAGCCUCAGAUUCCUCAAUGGCGUAGUGGAAAUAAUGAAAGUAGAAAUAAUAAAACCUACCUCCUACAUUAAGUGUAACAAUUACAUGAGAUAAUGCUCAUCAAAUGUCUAUGUUACGUUAAGAAUGACAUAACUGUUAACUACCACAGACGUGGGGUAACGAUACUGGAUUUUUUAACGAGCUUAGCACCACCGCACACAGAAGAUCAAUAAAUAGUUUUUAUUGA
Long non-coding RNA from Camelus dromedarius (Arabian camel), 732 nucleotides. RefSeq lists it as uncharacterized. The transcript is spliced from 2 exons. The record is from RefSeq and is a predicted model, not a curated record. NCBI's taxonomy places the organism in Eukaryota, Metazoa, Chordata, Mammalia, Artiodactyla, Camelidae.